UGCGGAUGACUGAAGGUAUCGACGACUUGACGCACCUCUUCUCCGGCCUUCAGCCCUACGGACCCCAAAGCGCAAUGGAGCAGCUGAUCAAAAAAUGGUGGUGGAGACCCAGAGAGCGCAACAGGAAACAUAUGCGGCCUUACUGCAGCAGAAAAUAAAGGUGAACCAGCUAAGGGAACAGGAGCUUCGGCAAGGAGCGAGGGCGAGACCUCGGGUGGGGGACUAUAUUCCGAAGCUGGGAGCCACUGACAAUGUGGAAGCGUACCUGCACGUCUUUGAGGCAACGGUGGUCCGAGAAGGGUGGCCCAAGGCACAAUGGAAUGGGAUUCUUGGCUCCCUUCCUGACAGGUGAGGCACUGCAGGCUUUCCAGGACGUGGAGGCUGAGGUUGACCAAGAUUAUGACCUGCUAAAGGAAGAGAUCCAGAGCCGUCACGGCCUGACUAAGUUUAGUAUGGCUCAACGUUUCCACAGUUGGUCCUCCCAGAUGCAUGAGUUGAUUCGGAUCACCAAAAAUUGGCUAGAGCCCGAAAAUAAAAGCCCGGCCGCCAUCGUCGAGACCCUGGUUAUGGAUCGCUAUUUAAGGGCCCUACCUUAUGAAGCCAAAAAAACACUAAGUCAGCAGAAAUUGACCUCCGCGACAGCGUUGGUGGAAGCCCUAGAACAGUACCAGGCGGCUUCGGAGAUGCUCCGCUCCACCCGCAAGGAGACUGUCGCCCCGGCUAGGCCCAAGGGGCCUUCCGCAAAGGCUUCCCCAGCGGUCAGCCCUCUGCUCCGCUCCUACCUUCGGGGCACUAGACGGCCCACCCAGCCCCAGGGUUUGCCGAAAUCCGAGGCGCACCAGUGCUUCCACUGUGGUGAGUGGGGUCACAUAUCAUGGCAGUGCGAGAAGUCAGAUGAGAAGAUGCCCACCGCAGAGUCCGCUAGCAGCCCCCAUGUGCAUUUUGCUGCCUUCCUGGGGGAAGGGGAGGACCAAUGGCCCACCUGCCCCGUGAUUGUGAAUCACUGGGAUGUGGAAGUGCUGCUGGACUCCGGCAGUUCCCAUACCUUGGUGCAAGAGGCGGUGUUGGAGGAGCCGCCCCUGGGUCAAAACCAUUCCAUCCCGGUGGUCUGUGUCCAUGGGGAGACCAGAGAGUAUCCCACAGCGGUGGUAAAGUUAACCACCACCAAGGGGGCCUUUGCCGUGGAGGUGGGGGUUGUCAAAACCCUCCCAGUCCCAGUCCUGAUCGGUCGGGACUGUCUAGCCUUUCCUAUGCUUUGGAGAGAAGCCCAACGGAGACGCUGCCGAGGACCCCAACGAGGGGUUCCCAAGGUGGGUAGAAAGGGAGAAUUCUGGGCUAAGAUUGAUCAACCCUGUUCUGCCAAAACUGUUGUAGCCCAAGGUUUUGCAGUGGACUCCAGCGGAUUGGACUUGGGGCAGGAAGGGCCAGAAGGUUGCAAACCCUUGACCAGCCUCAGUGGAGAGGACGUGGACGGCCCAAGGACCCUGCAGCCCCUAAAAGGUCAGUACGGCACGGCACAGCUCAGCUUCAGGACCCCACCCUUAGCAAUGCCUUGAUGAAUGUCCAGGUGAUAGAGGGGAUGAUGGUAGGAAGUAGAGUAGCCCCCGCCUACCCCCAUUUUUCUAUAAAAAAAACGGCCUCCUGUAUCAAGUCAUUAAGAGCCAGGAUAACGUCACUGAGCAACUCCUUGUGCCCCAGACUCAUCGGACUACGGUUCUGCAGUUAACCCCCACGCACCUAAUGGGAGCUCAACUGGGGGUGGAAAAAACGCCCGGAGUGUUAGAUCACUGCCCCCAAACCGUCUUACAGACAUCCUGUGGUCCCUUUACCCAUUAUAGAAACUCCCUAUCUAGCUAAGGAGGCCUGGGAGGAGCAACCCUGCCCCCACCGCACGAUGGUUGAGCAUGUAGGGGACACGCGAGACCGGAUAGCAGCAGUGGUCCCCAUUGUGAGGGAACACCUGGAAAAGGCCCAGCGAGACCAGAGGGGGGUGUAUAAAAGGACUGCCCAUCCCAGGGAGUUCCAACCAGGAGACAGAGUCCUGGUGUUGGUCCCCACGGUGGAAUGCAAGUUUUUGGCUACUUGGCAGGGGCCUUUUGAGGUACUAGAGAAGUUGUCUGUUCCCCAGGGAUCCGCCCGACCUGGCCAGGAACGAAGUGCAGCUGGGACCAGAUCUCUCCCAUCACCAAUUGCAGCAGGUCAAGGAGUUGGUGGAAACAGGAUGUGUUCUCCUCCCUCCCGGGGUGCACCCACCUGAUAGAACAUGAAGUGCGCCCAGCUGUGAGUCCCUGGAUCUGACGAAGGGGUAUUGGCAGGUCCUCAUGUUGGCUGAGUCUAAAGAGAAGAUGGCCUAUGCCACUCCCGGGGGCCUUUGGCAAUACAGAAUGAUGCCCUUUGGGUUAUCGGGGGCUCCUGCCACCUUUCAGCUGUUAAUGGACCAGGUGUUGAAACUGCAUAGGGACUUUGCAGCGGCAUAUCUGGAUGAUGUGGUCAUUCAGAGCCCAGACUGGGAAAACCACCUGCCGCAAGUGCAGAAGGUGCUGGACUCACUUUGGCACGCGGGUUUGACGGCCAACCCCAAGAAGUGUAAGCUGGCCUUUAGUGAGACCGAUUACUUGGGGUACACCAUUGGAAGAGGACUCGUCAAGCCUCAGGAGGCCAAACUUGCCGGCGAAUGGUAUAUAGUAUCAGUACAUAUAUGUGUGUGUGUGUGUGUGUGUGUGUGUGUAUAUAUAUGUAUGUAUGUAAUGUGUGUGACAAUAUAAAAAUAUUGAACAACAACGAUUAACAAUUAACAACAAAUAUGUGCAAUGUACCAGGUUUGUGUUUGAUAUGAAGUGAAAUAAUGCUCGGGCCUGGGUAGCAGAGGGACGGCUAAUGUUUGUUAGCUGUUUUUGUAUUUGGUUCUAUGUUGACUGGAUCCGUUCAUCGUGUAAGGGGGCGGAGUGGGUAAAGAAACUGUUACCUUUAUGUGCUGUAUUAUUACAGGUCUAUGUUUCACUGUGCUGUUUGAUGCUUUAUUAGGUGAAAGUAGCUUGUUAGAGGGGUUCUCAUCUGACUGUCCAUGACCGGCCUUCGUCUCUGGACUUUCUACUCCCUUCCUCCGUCAGACAGCUGCGUAAUAAUAACAUUAGAGUAUAAAGUCACCUGUUUCUUCACUGGCUCU
Micropterus dolomieu (smallmouth bass) is the source of this 3166-nucleotide RNA transcript. RefSeq lists it as uncharacterized. The record is from RefSeq and is a predicted model, not a curated record. NCBI's taxonomy places the organism in Eukaryota, Metazoa, Chordata, Actinopteri, Centrarchiformes, Centrarchidae. The transcript has 2 exons.